This 449-nucleotide ribosomal RNA is filed under the name uncultured bacterium. RNAcentral describes it as "partial 16S ribosomal RNA". It matches the Rfam family "Bacterial small subunit ribosomal RNA", at positions 29 to 523 of the family's 1533-position model. The record is from RNAcentral.
AACGAACGCUGGCGGCAUGCCUAACACAUGCAAGUCGAACGAGAUCUUCGGGUCUAGUGGCGCACGGGUGCGUAACGCGUGGGAAUCUGCCCUUUGGUUCGGAAUAACAGUUGGAAACGACUGCUUAUACCGGAUGAUGACGAAAGUCCAAAGAUUUAUCGCCAGAGGAUGAGCCCGCGUAGGAUUAGCUAGUUGGUGUGGUAAAGGCGCACCAAGGCGACGAUCCUUAGCUGGUCUGAGAGGAUGAUCAGCCACACUGGGACUGAGACACGGCCCAGACUCCUACGGGAGGCAGCAGUGGGGAAUAUUGGACAAUGGGCGAAAGCCUGAUCCAGCAAUGCCGCGUGGGUGAUGAAGGCCUUAGGGUUGUAAAGCUCUUUUACCCGGGAUGAUAAUGACAGUACCGGGGGAAUAAGCUCCGGCUAACUCCGUGCCAGCAGCCGCCGUAA